AUUGAACGCUGGCGGCAGGCCUAACACAUGCAAGUCGAGCGGCAGCGCGGGGUAACCUGGCGGCGAGCGGCGAACGGGUGAGUAAUACAUGGGAAUCUGCCUAGUAGUGGGGGGAUAAACUUCGGGAAACUGGAGGUAAUACCGCAUACGCCCUACGGGGAAGGGGGGAGUCUUCGGACCUCUCGCUAUUAGAGGAGCCCAUGUCCGAUUAGCUAGUUGGUGAGGUAAAGGACUCACCAAGGCGACGAUCGGUAACUGGUCUGAGAGGAUGGUCAGUCACACUGGAACUGAGACACGGUCCAGACUCCUACGGAGGCAGCAGUGGGGAAUAUUGGACAAUGGGGGAAACCCUGAUCCAGCCAUGCCGCGUGUGUGAAGAA
RNAcentral lists this ribosomal RNA (380 nucleotides) under uncultured bacterium. Its description in RNAcentral is "bacterial SSU rRNA". It matches the Rfam family "Bacterial small subunit ribosomal RNA", at positions 30 to 412 of the family's 1533-position model. The record is from RNAcentral.